GAUGAAGAACGUAGCGAAAUGCGAUAAGUAAUGCGAAUUGCAGAAUUCAGUGAAUCAUCGAAUCUUUGAACGCACAUUGCGCCCGCUAGUAUUCUGGCGGGCAUGCCUGUCUGAGCGUCAUUUCAACCCUCGCCCCCGGCUUUUGCUGGGAGCGGUGUUGGGGAUCGGCCGCCCGUCACUGGGAGGCCGGCCCCGAAAUAGAGUGGCGACCACGCCGUGUGCCCCUCUGCGUAGUAGUAAAUCACCUCGCAGGCGGACAGCGGUGCGGCCUGCCGUAAAACCCCCAACUCUUUCUGGUUGACCUCAGAUCAGGUAGGAAUACCCGCUGAACUUAAGCAUAUCAAUAAGCGGAGGA
Molecule: unclassified non-coding RNA, 355 nt
Filed under: soil metagenome
Description: partial contains 5.8S ribosomal RNA, internal transcribed spacer 2, and large subunit ribosomal RNA
Rfam family: 5.8S ribosomal RNA (bases 1-120)
Source: RNAcentral